Molecule: ribosomal RNA, 439 nt
Filed under: Trifolium micranthum
Lineage: Eukaryota; Viridiplantae; Streptophyta; Magnoliopsida; Fabales; Fabaceae
Description: eukaryotic LSU rRNA
Rfam family: Eukaryotic large subunit ribosomal RNA (bases 299-439)
Source: RNAcentral
UGCAGAAUCCCGUGAACCAUCGAGUCUUUGAACGCAAGUUGCGCCCAAUGCCAUUAGGUUGAGGGCACGUCUGCCUGGGUGUCACAUAUCGAAGCCUUUUGCCAAUUUCCUAUUCCUAGGUGUUGUGCAGGGUGAAUGUUGGCCUCCCGUGAGCUCUCUUGACCCAUGGUUGGUUGAAAAUUGAUGCCUUGGUAGCGUGAGCCAUGAUAGAUGGUGGUUGUGCGACCCACAAACAAAACCAAAUCAUGUGCUCGCUCUAUCAAAUUUUACCCACAUGCGUUGAUAAACGCUCGUGAUGAGACCUCAGGUCAGGCGGGGCUACCCGCUGAAUUUAAGCAUAUCAAUAAGCGGAGGAAAAGAAACUAACAAGGAUUCCCUUAGUAACGGCGAGCGAACCGGGAUAAGCCCACCAUGAGAAUCGAUCGCCCUCGGUGUUCGA